RNAcentral lists this long non-coding RNA (803 nucleotides) under Homo sapiens (human). RNAcentral describes it as "HSALNT0090881". The record is from RNAcentral. Lineage: Eukaryota; Metazoa; Chordata; Mammalia; Primates; Hominidae.
AGGAAGAGGGGGAAAGGAAGGAAGGAAGGAGGGAGAGAAGAAAGAAAGAAAGAAGGGAAGGAAGGAAGGAAGAAAAGAAAGAAAGAAAAAGAGAAAGAAAGGAAAGAAAGAGAAAAAGAAAGAAGGAAGAAAAGGAAGGGAGAGGGGGAGGAGGGAAGGAAGGAAGGAAGGGAGGGAAGAAAGAAAGAGGGAAUUGCUAAUGGUGGAUUUGAAUUGGGUCCUGGAAAUAUGUAUGUUAAGCAUAUCCCCUGUGUGAUUUUAAUAAAUGCAAAUUUCUAAACAACUACUUUAGAGAACUCCAAUCACCUGGCCACUGUCCAUGUAGUUGGGCCACAGAUUGGAUGCAACUGAAGAUAAAUUUCAGAUAAAUUUACCACUCUUUGGAUACAAAAUAAUAGACUUCUCUCCUCUGGAGGGAUUCCUAUGCUUCCUUUGGGAGGAGGGGGCAGCAUUGAGGAAGAGACGGGCAAUGCCUAGUGAAGUGGAAUGAAAACCCUUCAAGUUUUGAAGUUCAAUUCAACUUCUGACUCUGCUAUUUGCCUGCCAGUUGAACUUGGACCAGUUAUUUGACCUCUCUAGCUGAAUGUAAAGCUCACCUUAAGAAUGAUGAUAGUGUCAUUGUAGGGCAAGUUUAAUGAACAUGUAUGAUUAUGUCAGACAGGUAGUGGGCACUCAUUCUUAGUUUUUGCUUUUUCUUGGAAAUGUAAUAUUCUUCUGUCCAAGAGAGUCAAAGGCACUGAAAUAGCUGCUGGUUUCAUUAUUUUCAAAUGCAUGUCAAUCGUUGUCAUAAUUUAGGAUCCACU